This 378-nucleotide unclassified non-coding RNA is filed under the name plant metagenome. Its description in RNAcentral is "partial contains 5.8S ribosomal RNA, internal transcribed spacer 2, and large subunit ribosomal RNA". The stretch from base 1 to 105 matches the Rfam family "5.8S ribosomal RNA", at positions 50 to 154 of the family's 154-position model. The record is from RNAcentral.
GAAAUGCGAUAAGUAAUGUGAAUUGCAGAAUUCAGUGAAUCAUCGAAUCUUUGAACGCAUCUUGCGCUCCUUGGUAUUCCUUGGAGCAUGCCUGUUUGAGUAUCAUGAAAUCUUCAAAGUAAAUCUUUUGUUAACUCAAUUGGUUUCUACUUUGGUAUUGGAGGUCUUUGCAGCUUCACACCUGCUCCUCUUUGUUCAUUAGCUGGAUCUCAGCGUUAUGCUUGGUUCCACUCGGCGUGAUAAGUUAUCUAUCGCUGAGGACACUGUAAAAGGUGGCCAAGGUAAAUGCAGAUGAACCGCUUCUAAUAGUCCAUUGACUUGGACAAUACUUUUAUGAUCUGAUCUCAAAUCAGGUAGGACUACCCGCUGAACUUAAGC